AAAAAACUGUAUUCUUGUUUUUUGCAGAAAAAAGAACUACAGAAGAAAUGCAUAGUCUACAAAAUUUUAUCAACAAAAACAGAAAUCUCAUUUACAAAACAACUUUUCUAGAAAAUUGCAUGCAGGCUACAUAUAUUGAUGUUCAUAUUCAAUUGAAGUUAACAAGAAACAUAAGGAUCAAGAUAGACAAGGGACAGGAAACCCUGUCACCCCAAGAUGACUUCAAAAUUUUCAAAGUAAAUUUACCAAUUUGCUCAUGCCAAAU
This 265-nucleotide unclassified non-coding RNA is filed under the name Hevea brasiliensis (rubber tree). The record is from RNAcentral. Lineage: Eukaryota; Viridiplantae; Streptophyta; Magnoliopsida; Malpighiales; Euphorbiaceae.